UCCGACUUGACGUCGGCAGUCUCGUUAGAGUGCCCAACUUAAUGCUGGCAACUAACGACAGAGGUUGCGCUCGUUGCGGGACUUAACCCAACAUCUCACGACACGAGCUGACGACAGCCAUGCAGCACCUUCUCACUCGCUUCCCGAAGGACACCCCGACAUCUCUGCCAGGUUCGAGCGGAUUUAACCCAGGUAAGGUUCUGCGCGUUGCGUCGAAUUGAACCACAUGCUCCACCGCUUGUGCGGGUCCCCGCCAAUUCCUUUGAGUUUCAGCCUUGCGGCCGUACUCCCCAGGCGGAGUGCUUAAUGCGUUAGCUGCAGCACUAAAGGGCGGAAACCCUCUAACACUUAGCACUCAUCGUUUACAGCGUGGACUAC
Molecule: unclassified non-coding RNA, 378 nt
Filed under: uncultured bacterium
Lineage: Bacteria
Description: contains 16S-23S intergenic spacer region
Source: RNAcentral